UGGGGAAUUUUGCACAAUGGGGGAAACCCUGAUGCAGCGACGCCGCGUGAUUUAGAAGGCCUUCGGGUUGUAAAAAUCUUUUGCAUGGGAAGAAAAUGACAGUACCAUACGAAUAAGGACCGGCCAAUUACGUGCCAGCAGCCGCGGUAAUACGUAAGGUCCGAGCGUUGUCCGGAAUCAUUGGGCGUAAAGGGUACGUAGGCGAAUAAGCAAGUUAGAAGUGAAAUCCUAUAGCUCAACUAUAGUAAGCUUUUAAAACUGCUCAUCUUGAGGUAUGGAAGGGAAAGUGGAAUUCCUAGUGUAGCGGUGAAAUGCGCAGAUAAUAGGAGGAAGACCGGUGGCGAAGGCGGCUUUCUGGCCAUAUACUGACGCUGAGGUACGAAAGCGUAGGUAGCAAACAGG
RNAcentral lists this ribosomal RNA (402 nucleotides) under Verrucomicrobiota bacterium. RNAcentral describes it as "Verrucomicrobia bacterium partial 16S ribosomal RNA". It matches the Rfam family "Bacterial small subunit ribosomal RNA", at positions 355 to 776 of the family's 1533-position model. Lineage: Bacteria; Pseudomonadati; Verrucomicrobiota. The record is from RNAcentral.